UACGUAGGGUGCGAGCGUUAAUCGGAAUUACCGGGCGUAAAGCGUGCGCAGGCGGUUACUCAAGUCGGAUGUGAAAGCCCUCGGCUUAACUGAGGAAGUGCACCCGAAACUGAGUAGCUAGAGUACUAAAGAGGGUCGCGGAAUUCCCGGUGUAGAGGUGAAAUUCGUAGAUAUCGGGAGGAACACCGGUGGCGAAGGCGGCGACCUGGGUAGAUACUGACGCUGAGGCGCGAAAGCGUGGGGAGCAAACAGG
RNAcentral lists this ribosomal RNA (253 nucleotides) under uncultured bacterium. Its description in RNAcentral is "partial 16S ribosomal RNA". It matches the Rfam family "Bacterial small subunit ribosomal RNA", at positions 524 to 776 of the family's 1533-position model. The record is from RNAcentral.